CAGCCGCCGCGGUAAAACGUAGGUGGCAAGCGUUGUCCGGAAUUAUUGGGCGUAAAGGGCUCGCAGGCGGUUUCUUAAGUCUGAUGUGAAAGCCCCCGGCCCAACCGGGGAGGGUCAUUGGAAACUGGGAAACUUGAGUGCAGAAGAGGAGAGUGGAAUUCCACGUGUAGCGGUGAAAUGCGUAGAGAUGUGGAGGAACACCAGUGGCGAAGGCGACUCUCUGGUCUGUAACUGACGCUGAGGAGCGAAAGCGUGGGGAGCGAACAGGAUUAGAUACCCCGGUAGUCCCUGUCUCUUAUAC
This 301-nucleotide ribosomal RNA is filed under the name uncultured bacterium. RNAcentral's name for it is "partial 16S ribosomal RNA". It matches the Rfam family "Bacterial small subunit ribosomal RNA", at positions 509 to 807 of the family's 1533-position model. The record is from RNAcentral.